ACGCUCGACACCUACGGGAGGCAGCAGUGGGGAAUAUUGUACAAUGGGGGAAACCCUGAUGCAGCGACGCCGCGUGAGCGAAGAAGUAUUUCGGUAUGUAAAGCUCUAUCAGCAGGGAAGAAACUGACGGUACCUGACUAAGAAGCACCGGCUAAAUACGUGCCAGCAGCCGACGGUAAUCUGAGGCGGGCUGGCGAAGGC
RNAcentral lists this ribosomal RNA (201 nucleotides) under uncultured bacterium. RNAcentral's name for it is "partial 16S ribosomal RNA". It matches the Rfam family "Bacterial small subunit ribosomal RNA", at positions 328 to 540 of the family's 1533-position model. The record is from RNAcentral.